GGGUUGUAAACUUCUUUUAUAUUAGAAUAAAGUGCAGUAUGUAUACUGUUUUGUAUGUAUAAUAUGAAUAGGGAUCGGCUAACUCCGUGCCAGCAGCCGCGGUAAUACGGAGGAUCCGAGCGUUAUCCGGAUUUAUUGGGUUUAAAGGGAGCGUAGGUGGGCUGGUAAGUCAGUUGUGAAAGUUUGCGGCUCAACCGUAAAAUUGCAGUUGAUACUGUCAGUCUUGAGUACAGUAGAGGUGGGCGGAAUUCGUGGUGUAGCGGUGAAAUGCUUAGAUAUCACGAAGAACUCCGAUUGCGAAGGCAGCUCACUGGACUGCAACUGACACUGAUGCUCGAAAGUGUGGGUAUCAAACAGGAUUGGAUACCCUGGUAGUCCACACAGUAAA
Molecule: ribosomal RNA, 388 nt
Filed under: uncultured bacterium
Lineage: Bacteria
Description: bacterial SSU rRNA
Rfam family: Bacterial small subunit ribosomal RNA
Source: RNAcentral